UGGCUCAGGACGAACGCUGGCGGCGUGCUUAACACAUGCAAGUCGAACGGAGCACCUGAGGAUGAAGCUUCGGCAGAAUCCUUGGACUGCUUAGUGGCGGACGGUGAGUAACACGUGAGUAACCUGCCCUUGAGUGGGGAAUAACACACCGAAAAGGUGUGCUAAUACCGCAUAACAUAUGCUUGCCGCAUGACAGGCAUAUCAAAGAUUUAUUGCUCAAGGAUGGGCUCGCGUCCGAUUAGCUAGUUGGUGAGGUAACGGCCCACCAAGGCGACGAUCAGUAGCCGGCCUGAGAGGGUGAACGGCCACAUUGGGACUGAGACACGGCCCAAACUCCUACGGGAGGCAGCAGUGGGGAAUAUUGGGCAAUGGGGGAAACCCUGACCCAGCGACGCCGCGUGAGGGAAGACGGUCUUCGGAUUGUAAACCUUAGUCAACAGGGAAGAAGAAAGUGACGGUACCUGUGGAGGAAGCCACGGCUAACUACGUG
This 490-nucleotide ribosomal RNA is filed under the name uncultured bacterium. RNAcentral describes it as "bacterial SSU rRNA". It matches the Rfam family "Bacterial small subunit ribosomal RNA", at positions 20 to 507 of the family's 1533-position model. The record is from RNAcentral.